RNAcentral lists this non-coding RNA (31 nucleotides) under Rattus norvegicus (Norway rat). The record is from RNAcentral. Lineage: Eukaryota; Metazoa; Chordata; Mammalia; Rodentia; Muridae.
UAUGACUUUUUAUACUGUAUGUCAUGGAGCA